Molecule: transfer-messenger RNA, 359 nt
Filed under: Gemmatimonadota bacterium
Lineage: Bacteria; Pseudomonadati; Gemmatimonadota
Rfam family: transfer-messenger RNA
About the family: Bacterial tmRNA, also known as 10Sa RNA or SsrA, is named for its dual tRNA and mRNA-like properties. Its role is to liberate the mRNA from a stalled ribosome. To accomplish this part of the tmRNA is used as a reading frame that ends in a translation stop signal.
Source: RNAcentral
GGGGGCGACUGGUUUCGACGGGUUUGGUGAAGGUUCAGUUGCGUGCCCAGGUUCCCGGUGUCCUGGUAAAACCCGCUGGGAAACUUCAUAACUGCCAAUACUGACUUGGCCCUGGCUGCGUAAGCUUCGGCUUACCGCACCUGCUCUCGUGGCAGCCGCGCUUGAGGCGGCGCGGGAGUAUCGGAAAAUCAAGCUGGCGUGACGUGGCGCUUCCGCACGUACCGCGAGAUGUAAGGGAGCUCGUCCGGCAAUUGGGUGGCUGUGCCCCUGUUGUCGGAGACCACAAGCGCAGCCUACGCACGUAGAGACCGGGCUGGAUCGAUGCUCGGACCGGGGUUCGAAUCCCCGCGCCUCCAUUU